UAGGGAAUCUUCCACAAUGGACGCAAGUCUGAUGGAGCAACGCCGCGUGAGUGAAGAAGGUUUUCGGACCGUAAAGCUCUGUUGUUGGUGAAGAAGGAUAGAGGUAGUAACUGGCCUUUAUUUGACGGUAAUCAACCAGAAAGUCACGGCUAACUACGUGCCAGCAGCCGCGGUAAUCGUAGGUGGCAAGCGUUGUCCGGAUUUAUUGGGCGUAAAGCGAGCGCAGGCGGAAGAAUAAGUCUGAUGUGAAAGCCCUCGGCUUAACCGAGGAAUUGCAUCGGAAACUGCUUUUCUUGAGUGCAGAAGAGGAGAGUAGAACUCCAUGUGUAGCGGUGGAAUGCGUAGAUAUAUGGAAGAAUACCAGUGGCGAAGGCGGCUCUCUGGUCUGCAACUGACGCUGAGGCUCGAAAGCAUGGGUAGCGAACAGGAUUAGAUACCCUGGUAGUCCAUGCCGUAAACGAUGAGUGCUAAGUGUUGGGAGGCUUCCGCCUCUCAGUGCUGCAGCUAACGCAUUAAGCACUCCGCCUGGGGGAGUACGAUCGCAAGGUUGAAAC
This 554-nucleotide ribosomal RNA is filed under the name uncultured bacterium. RNAcentral's name for it is "partial 16S ribosomal RNA". It matches the Rfam family "Bacterial small subunit ribosomal RNA", at positions 355 to 900 of the family's 1533-position model. The record is from RNAcentral.